GUCUACGGCCAAACCACCCAGAACAUGCCUGAUUUCUUCUGAUCUCAGAAUCUAAGUAGGGCUGGGCCUGGUUAGUACUUGGAUGAGAGAAAGUAUUUUUUUUUUUCUUUUGAGACAGAGCCUUGCUCUGUCACCU
Molecule: ribosomal RNA, 136 nt
Filed under: Prolemur simus (greater bamboo lemur)
Lineage: Eukaryota; Metazoa; Chordata; Mammalia; Primates; Lemuridae
Source: RNAcentral